RNAcentral lists this ribosomal RNA (718 nucleotides) under uncultured bacterium. RNAcentral's name for it is "bacterial SSU rRNA". It matches the Rfam family "Bacterial small subunit ribosomal RNA", at positions 62 to 793 of the family's 1533-position model. The record is from RNAcentral.
UUUUGCUGAGACCUUCGGGUGGAUUUAAAAGUGACUGAGUGGCGGACGGGUGAGUAACGCGUGGGUAACCUGCCUCACACAGGGGGAUAACAGUUAGAAAUGACUGCUAAUACCGCAUAAGCGCACGGUCUCGCAUGGGACAGUGUGAAAAACUCCGGUGGUGUGAGAUGGACCCGCGUCUGAUUAGCUAGUUGGUGGGGUAACGGCCUACCAAGGCGACGAUCAGUAGCCGACCUGAGAGGGUGACCGGCCACAUUGGGACUGAGCCACGGCCCAAACUCCUACGGGAGGCAGCAGUGGGGAAUAUUGCACAAUGGGGGAAACCCUGAUGCAGCGACGCCGCGUGAUUGAAGAAGUAUUUCGGUAUGUAAAGAUCUAUCAGCAAGGAAGAAAAUGACGGUACUUGACUAAGAAGCCCCGGCUAACUACGUGCCAGCAGCCGCGGUAAUACGUAGGGGGCAAGCGUUAUCCGGAUUUACUGGGUGUAAAGGGAGCGUAGGCGGUCUGGCAAGCCAGAAGUGAAAGCCCGGGGCUUAACCCCGGGACUGCUUUUGGAACUGUUAGACUAGAGUGUCGGAGAGGUAAGUGGAAUUCCUAGUGUAGCGGUGAAAUGCGUAGAUAUUAGGAGGAACACCAGUGGCGAAGGCGGCUUACUGGACGAUAACUGACGCUGAGGCUCGAAAGCGUGGGGAGCAAACAGGAUUAGAUACCCUGGUAG